Molecule: ribosomal RNA, 402 nt
Filed under: uncultured prokaryote
Description: bacterial SSU rRNA
Rfam family: Bacterial small subunit ribosomal RNA
Source: RNAcentral
UGGGGAAUCUUGGACAAUGGGGGAAACCCUGAUCCAGCCAUGCCGCGUGAUCGAUGAAGGCCUUAGGGUUGUAAAGAUCUUUCAGCGAGGAAGAUAAUGACGGUACUCGCAGAAGAAGCCCCGGCUAACUCCGUGCCAGCAGCCGCGGUAAUACGGAGGGGGCUAGCGUUAUUCGGAAUUACUGGGCGUAAAGCGCGUGUAGGCGGUCCUGCAAGUCUGAUGUGAAAGCCCCGGGCUUAACCCGGGAAGUGCAUUGGAAACUGUGGGACUUGAGUACUGGAGAGGAUGGGGGAAUUCCCGGUGUAGAGGUGAAAUUCGUAGAGAUCGGGAGGAAUAUCAGUGGCGAAGGCGCCCAUCUGGACGGUAACUGACGCUGAGACGCGAAAGCGUGGGGAGCAAACA